Molecule: ribosomal RNA, 396 nt
Filed under: Triticum aestivum (bread wheat)
Lineage: Eukaryota; Viridiplantae; Streptophyta; Magnoliopsida; Poales; Poaceae
Description: partial small subunit ribosomal RNA
Source: RNAcentral
AUGAAAUUCGGAUGUACUCACGUGCAACAUUUUUGUUUCUUUGGUUGUCAGAUGGAACCGACAAAGAACGGGAAGGGCAAGAAGGACACAGAAGAGCAUAAGAAUGAAACAGAAGAGAAGCUAGUUGUGGACAUUGCGGACAAUGAUUAUAUAGAUGCAAUUGAAGAAACAAAAUCCAUUUCCACCGGUACCCUUGUGACUGAGAGUGAUUCUGAGAGUGACGAUUCCGAGAGUGACGCACCUCAACGAGCGCCAAGCAACAGAACCCGAGGAGGCAAUAGAACCCGAGGAGGAGGAGGGCGAGGGGGCAACAGAACCCGGGGAGGAGGAGGACGACGAGGGGGUAACAAAAUCCGAGGAGGAAGAAGAGGGGGUAGGGGACGCACUAGUGGUUAG